UGUAUGUGUGUGAGCGGAUGCGUGUAUGUGUGUGUGUGUGUGUGUGUGUGUGUGUGUAGCUGGGCGUGUUGGCGAUGUUUUUUAAUACACUUGGCAAGCAACGCUAUGCAGGCUUCGGCCUGCUCCAACAACGACCGAAGAAGACAAAGAACAGGGACCGCUCUUUAUAUUUGCACGGUUUCGCUCUCGCUCUCUCAUUUUCUCAGUUUUGGGCUCUCUCUCUCU
This is a long non-coding RNA of Drosophila navojoa, 225 nucleotides long. The record is from RefSeq and is a predicted model, not a curated record. Lineage: Eukaryota; Metazoa; Arthropoda; Insecta; Diptera; Drosophilidae.